RNAcentral lists this microRNA precursor (63 nucleotides) under Olea europaea subsp. europaea. Lineage: Eukaryota; Viridiplantae; Streptophyta; Magnoliopsida; Lamiales; Oleaceae. The record is from RNAcentral.
CCCUGGCUCUAGCAGCGCGAAAGCGCUGCUGUAGCAGCAGCGCUUUCGCGCUGCUGGGCGGGU